CCUGGCUCAGGAUGAACGCUGGCGGCGUGCCUAACACAUGCAAGUCGAACGGAGAUUUAACGCUGAUGAGGCUUCGGCGGAAUCUUGUUAAAUCUUAGUGGCGGACGGGUGAGUAACGCGUGGGCAACCUGCCUCGUACUGGGGGAUAACAGUUGGAAACGACUGUUAAUACCGCAUAAGCGCACGGUAUCGCAUGAUACAGUGUGAAAAACUCCGGUGGUACGAGAUGGGCCCGCGUCAGAUUAGCCAGUUGGCGGGGUAACGGCCCACCAAAGCGACGAUCUGUAGCCGGACUGAGAGGUCGGACGGCCACAUUGGGACUGAGACACGGCCCAAACUCCUACGGGAGGCAGCAGUGGGGGAUAUUGCACAAUGGGCGAAAGCCUGAUGCAGCGACGCCGCCGUGAGUGAAGAAGUAUUUCGGUAUGUAAAGCUCUAUCAGCAGGGAAGAAAGGCCCGCAAGGGAGAUGACGGUACCUGACUAAGAAGCCCCGGCUAACUACGUGCCAGCAGCGGC
This 517-nucleotide ribosomal RNA is filed under the name uncultured bacterium. Its description in RNAcentral is "bacterial SSU rRNA". It matches the Rfam family "Bacterial small subunit ribosomal RNA", at positions 18 to 518 of the family's 1533-position model. The record is from RNAcentral.